UUGUACUCCUGCUCUGCUUCCAAGUCGAAUACUAUUGGGAAAGUUCGUUUCGUUUAUAGACUGGUUCUGGCUUGAGCUUCAAGGUAUAACAUGUAUGUAUUAACAAAAUGAAGAAGUUAACGCAUAGUUCCGUGAAACACUAGGGAUAGGUUUGCAGAGUUGUCUUUCUCAAAGGACAUGUUGACCAACCUUAAUAAAGUUUCAAUAUUGGAAUUUGCUAGGUAGAUUCGUGGUGGAGGAUUACGGUAUUUUUGUUAGACUUGGCUAUAUUUUUGUUGGCAAUACUUGAGGGAUUAUCUUUGUUUUUUUUCCUUUGGUUGACAUUUAGAUAUAAACUUAUUGAAAUGUGCUUGUGCCGGAUAACAUUUGUACGCACGUGUACAAACUCUCACACGGGAUGUGUGGAUGCCAUUUAUCGUGCGGGAAGUCCCAUGAGAAAAAAUGUGUGUUGGUAGCAUUAUUGUUGAUACGUGAUGGAAAAAACGAUGCUGCCUCAGUACUAGAGCACCUUCACUAUUUUAGCAAAACAUAAUAGUUGUCACUGACAAAAUUAAGCAAGAGUAUACCGGACCCUAUUUGGGAUCCCUUUGUUUAUUGAACUUUUUGGUUUACAAGUUAAA
Molecule: long non-coding RNA, 620 nt
Filed under: Actinidia chinensis (golden kiwifruit)
Lineage: Eukaryota; Viridiplantae; Streptophyta; Magnoliopsida; Ericales; Actinidiaceae
Description: long non-coding RNA (ACHI_LNC001735)
Source: RNAcentral